This 1463-nucleotide ribosomal RNA is filed under the name Enterococcus durans. RNAcentral describes it as "16S ribosomal RNA". It matches the Rfam family "Bacterial small subunit ribosomal RNA". Lineage: Bacteria; Bacillati; Bacillota; Bacilli; Lactobacillales; Enterococcaceae. The record is from RNAcentral.
ACGCUGGCGGCGUGCCUAAUACAUGCAAGUCGUACGCUUCUUUUUCCACCGGAGCUUGCUCCACCGGAAAAAGAAGAGUGGCGAACGGGUGAGUAACACGUGGGUAACCUGCCCAUCAGAAGGGGAUAACACUUGGAAACAGGUGCUAAUACCGUAUAACAAUCGAAACCGCAUGGUUUUGAUUUGAAAGGCGCUUUCGGGUGUCGCUGAUGGAUGGACCCGCGGUGCAUUAGCUAGUUGGUGAGGUAACGGCUCACCAAGGCUACGAUGCAUAGCCGACCUGAGAGGGUGAUCGGCCACAUUGGGACUGAGACACGGCCCAAACUCCUACGGGAGGCAGCAGUAGGGAAUCUUCGGCAAUGGACGAAAGUCUGACCGAGCAACGCCGCGUGAGUGAAGAAGGUUUUCGGAUCGUAAAACUCUGUUGUUAGAGAAGAACAAGGAUGAGAGUAACUGUUCAUCCCUUGACGGUAUCUAACCAGAAAGCCACGGCUAACUACGUGCCAGCAGCCGCGGUAAUACGUAGGUGGCAAGCGUUGUCCGGAUUUAUUGGGCGUAAAGCGAGCGCAGGCGGUUUCUUAAGUCUGAUGUGAAAGCCCCCGGCUCAACCGGGGAGGGUCAUUGGAAACUGGGAGACUUGAGUGCAGAAGAGGAGAGUGGAAUUCCAUGUGUAGCGGUGAAAUGCGUAGAUAUAUGGAGGAACACCAGUGGCGAAGGCGGCUCUCUGGUCUGUAACUGACGCUGAGGCUCGAAAGCGUGGGGAGCAAACAGGAUUAGAUACCCUGGUAGUCCACGCCGUAAACGAUGAGUGCUAAGUGUUGGAGGGUUUCCGCCCUUCAGUGCUGCAGCUAACGCAUUAAGCACUCCGCCUGGGGAGUACGACCGCAAGGUUGAAACUCAAAGGAAUUGACGGGGGCCCGCACAAGCGGUGGAGCAUGUGGUUUAAUUCGAAGCAACGCGAAGAACCUUACCAGGUCUUGACAUCCUUUGACCACUCUAGAGAUAGAGCUUCCCCUUCGGGGGCAAAGUGACAGGUGGUGCAUGGUUGUCGUCAGCUCGUGUCGUGAGAUGUUGGGUUAAGUCCCGCAACGAGCGCAACCCUUAUUGUUAGUUGCCAUCAUUUAGUUGGGCACUCUAGCAAGACUGCCGGUGACAAACCGGAGGAAGGUGGGGAUGACGUCAAAUCAUCAUGCCCCUUAUGACCUGGGCUACACACGUGCUACAAUGGGAAGUACAACGAGUCGCGAAGUCGCGAGGCUAAGCUAAUCUCUUAAAGCUUCUCUCAGUUCGGAUUGUAGGCUGCAACUCGCCUACAUGAAGCCGGAAUCGCUAGUAAUCGCGGAUCAGCACGCCGCGGUGAAUACGUUCCCGGGCCUUGUACACACCGCCCGUCACACCACGAGAGUUUGUAACACCCGAAGUCGGUGAGGUAACCUUUUGGAGCCAGCCGCCUAAGGUGGGAU